Long non-coding RNA from Onychomys torridus (southern grasshopper mouse), 569 nucleotides. RefSeq lists it as uncharacterized. The record is from RefSeq and is a predicted model, not a curated record. The transcript has 3 exons. NCBI's taxonomy places the organism in Eukaryota, Metazoa, Chordata, Mammalia, Rodentia, Cricetidae.
GGACCCAUCCUGCCUUUCUGCUCGCCAAACAACUUCCCACUUCCUCCUUCCCUCAGGACCUGGCAGACUCCACUUUGUUCUCUAUUUCCAUGAGUUUGGUGGCUUUAGACUGAAAACAUAAGAAUGCUGGGAGUUCCUUGAAAUUUCAUCGUCAAGUCUUAGUGAAAGUGGAAGCCAAUCCAGCCACACUGGCUUUCCUAAUGAGUCAUGUGACCCACUGACUCCAAUGGCAUUGUGGGAAUUCCAUUCUGUACUCAAGCUACACAAAGGCUCACAAAGAGGACAGAACAGGAGAGAUGUUAGAAGAGGACCAUUGUUGUGUGACAAGACUUCUCCCGAGGAGAUACAACACACACAGUCUACUCACCCCAGAUAUGGAGCCCAUAUCCCGGCAAAAGUAUGGAUACCACCAAAGUCCAACUUGAUGAACCGUGAGUGUUAUUGGGGUUACUUACAGGAGCAAAAAUGACUCAAGGACAGCUGGAUUACCAAAGCCCACCCCAGCAUUAAUGACAGUUCACAAAAGCUGGAAACAUGGAGCACAAUGAGUAGCCCAUAGGCAACUCAAC